CCGAGUCUUAACUGGGCGUUAAGUUGCAGGGUAUAGACCCGAAACCCGGUGAUCUAGCCAUGGGCAGGUUGAAGGUUGGGUAACACUAACUGGAGGACCGAACCGACUAAUGUUGAAAAAUUAGCGGAUGACUUGUGGCUGGGGGUGAAAGGCCAAUCAAACCGGGAGAUAGCUGGUUCUCCCCGAAAGCUAUUUAGGUAGCGCCUCGUGAAUUCAUCUCCGGGGGUAGAGCACUGUUUCGGCAAGGGGGUCAUCCCGACUUACCAACCCGAUGCAAACUGCGAAUACCGGAGAAUGUUAUCACGGGAGACACACGGCGGGUGCUAACGUCCGUCGUGAAGAGGGAAACAACCCAGACCGCCAGCUAAGGUCCCAAAGUCAUGGUUAAGUGGGAAACGAUGUGGGAAGGCCCAGACAGCCAGGAUGUUGGCUUAGAAGCAGCCAUCAUUUAAAGAAAGCGUAAUAGCUCACUGGUCGAGUCGGCCUGCGCGGAAGAUGUAACGGGGCUAAACCAUGCACCGAAGCUGCGGCAGCGACGCUGAUGCGUUGUUGGGUAGGGGAGCGUUCUGUAAGCCUGUGAAGGUGUGCUGUGAGGCAUGCUGGAGGUAUCAGAAGUGCGAAUGCUGACAUAAGUAACGAUAAAGCGGGUGAAAAGCCCGCUCGCCGGAAGACCAAGGGUUCCUGUCCAACGUUAAUCGGGGCAGGGUGAGUCGACCCCUAAGGCGAGGCCGAAAGGCGUAGUCGAUGGGAAACAGGUUAAUAUUCCUGUACUUGGUGUUACUGCGAAGGGGGGACGGAGAAGGCUAUGUUGGCCGGGCGACGGUUGUCCCGGUU
This 834-nucleotide ribosomal RNA is filed under the name Escherichia coli. RNAcentral describes it as "partial 23S ribosomal RNA". It matches the Rfam family "Bacterial large subunit ribosomal RNA", at positions 677 to 1512 of the family's 2925-position model. Lineage: Bacteria; Pseudomonadati; Pseudomonadota; Gammaproteobacteria; Enterobacterales; Enterobacteriaceae. The record is from RNAcentral.